Molecule: ribosomal RNA, 253 nt
Filed under: uncultured bacterium
Lineage: Bacteria
Description: partial 16S ribosomal RNA
Rfam family: Bacterial small subunit ribosomal RNA
Source: RNAcentral
UACGUAGGUGGCAAGCGUUGUCCGGAUUUACUGGGCGUAAAGAGCGCGCAGGCGGUCGUUCAAGUCGCGUGUGAAAGCCCCCGGCUCAACUGGGGAGGGUCACGCGAUACUGAUCGACUCGAAGGCAGGAGAGGGUAGUGGAAUUCCCGGUGUAGUGGUGAAAUGCGUAGAUAUCGGGAGGAACACCAGUGGCGAAGGCGGCUUCCUGGCCUGUUCUUGACGCUGAGGCGCGAAGGUCAGGGGAGCAAACGGG